AACGCUGGCGGCGUGCCUAAUACAUGCAAGUCGAACGGUCUUUUCUAUGGAAGCUUGCUUCCACUGAAAAGAUAGUGGCGAACGGGUGAGUAACACGUGGGUAACCUGCCCAUAAGAGGGGGAGUAACAUCCGGAAACGGGUGCUAAUACCGCAUAGUUUUCUUGAUCGCAUGAUCGGGAAAGGAAAGACGGCCUUUGUGCUGUCGCUUAUGGAUGGACCCGCGGCGUAUUAGUUAGUUGGUGAGGUAACGGCUCACCAAGACGAUGAUACGUAGCCGACCUGAGAGGGCGAUCGGCCACAUUGGGACUGAGACACGGCCCAAACUCCUACGGGAGGCAGCAGUAGGGAAUCUUCCGCAAUGGACGAAAGUCUGACGGAGCAACGCCGCGUGAGUGAAGAAAAGGGUUUUCGGAUCGUAAAACUCUGUUGUCAGAGAAGAACAAGUUGGAGAGUAACUGCUCCAGCCUUGACGGUAUCUGACCAGAAAGCCACGGCUAACUACGUGCCAGCAGCCGC
RNAcentral lists this ribosomal RNA (517 nucleotides) under uncultured bacterium. Its description in RNAcentral is "bacterial SSU rRNA". It matches the Rfam family "Bacterial small subunit ribosomal RNA", at positions 32 to 518 of the family's 1533-position model. The record is from RNAcentral.